AUACGUAGGGUGCGAGCGUUAAUCGGAAUUACUGGGCGUAAAGCGUGCGCAGGUGGUUUUGUAAGUCAGAUGUGAAAUCCCCGGGCUUAACCUGGGAACUGCGUUUGAAACUGCAAGGCUAGAGUGUGGCAGAGGGGGGUGGAAUUCCGCGUGUAGCAGUGAAAUGCGUAGAGAUGUGGAGGAACACCGAUGGCGAAGGCAGCCCCCUGGGUCAACACUGACGCUCAGGCACGAAAGCAUGGGGAGCAAACAGGAUUAGAAACCCCAGUAGUCC
RNAcentral lists this ribosomal RNA (274 nucleotides) under uncultured bacterium. RNAcentral's name for it is "partial 16S ribosomal RNA". It matches the Rfam family "Bacterial small subunit ribosomal RNA", at positions 523 to 796 of the family's 1533-position model. The record is from RNAcentral.